CAGUCGCCGCGGUAAAACGAGGGGGGCAAGCGUUGUUCGGAAUUAUUGGGCGUAAAGGGUGCGUAGGCGGUUUGACAAGUCAUCUGUGAAAUCUAUGGGCUCAACCCAUAGUCUGCAGGCGAAACUGUCGGGCUUGAGUAUGGGAGAGGUGAGUGGAAUUUCCGGUGUAGCGGUGAAAUGCGUAGAUAUCGGAAGGAACACCUGUGGCGAAAGCGGCUCACUGGACCAUAACUGACGCUGAUGCACGAAAGCUAGGGGAGCAAACAGGAUUAGAUACCCCAGUAGUCCCUGUCUCUUAUAA
Molecule: ribosomal RNA, 301 nt
Filed under: uncultured bacterium
Lineage: Bacteria
Description: partial 16S ribosomal RNA
Rfam family: Bacterial small subunit ribosomal RNA
Source: RNAcentral